GGAAUCAACGCUGGCGGCGUGCCUAACACAUGCAAGUCGCACGAGAAAGGGGGCUUCGGCUCUGAGUAAAGUGGCGCACGGGUGAGUAACACGUGAAUAAUCUACCUCCGAGUGGGGGAAUAACUGAGAGAAAUCUUAGCUAAUACCGCAUAACACUUACGAGUCAAAGCAGCAAUGCGCUUGGAGAGGAGUUCGCGGCCGAUUAGUUAGUUGGCGGGGUAAUGGCCCACCAAGACGAUGAUCGGUA
RNAcentral lists this ribosomal RNA (247 nucleotides) under uncultured bacterium. Its description in RNAcentral is "partial small subunit ribosomal RNA". It matches the Rfam family "Bacterial small subunit ribosomal RNA", at positions 27 to 285 of the family's 1533-position model. The record is from RNAcentral.